RNAcentral lists this ribosomal RNA (279 nucleotides) under uncultured bacterium. RNAcentral describes it as "partial 16S ribosomal RNA". It matches the Rfam family "Bacterial small subunit ribosomal RNA", at positions 506 to 784 of the family's 1533-position model. The record is from RNAcentral.
UGCCAGCCGCCGCGGUAAUACGGAGGGGGUUAGCGUUGUUCGGAAUUACUGGGCGUAAAGCGUACGUAGGCGGAUUAGUAAGUUAGAGGUGAAAUCCCAGGGCUCAACCCUGGAACUGCCUUUAAUACUGCUAGUCUUGAGUUCGAGAGAGGUGAGUGGAAUUUCCAGUGUAGAGGUGUAAUUCGUAGAUAUUGGAAAGAAUACCAGUGGCGAAGGCGACUAACUGGGCCAUUUUUGACGCUGAGAUACGAAAGCGUGGGCAGCAAACAGGAUUAGAUA